AGAGUUUGAUCCUGGCUCAGGAUGAACGCUGGCGGCGUGCUUAACACAUGCAAGUCGAACGGGAAUGCCACGCUGAUGCGAUUUCGGUCAAAUCAUGUGGCAUUCGAGUGGCGGACGGGUGAGUAACGCGUGGGUAACCUGCCUUACACAGGGGGAUAACACCUGGAAACAGGUGCUAAUACCGCAUAAGCGCACAGGGCCGCAUGGCCCGGUGUGAAAAACUCCGGUGGUGUAAGAUGGACCCGCGUCUGAUUAGCUUGUUGGCGGGGUAGGGGCCCACCAAGGCGACGAUCAGUAGCCGGCCUGAGAGGGUGGACGGCCACAUUGGGACUGAGACACGGCCCAAACUCCUACGGGAGGCAGCAGUGGGGGAUAUUGGACAAUGGGGGAAACCCUGAUCCAGCGACGCCGCGUGAGUGAAGAAGUAUUUCGGUAUGUAAAGCUCUGUCAGCAGGGAAGAAAGAAAUGACGGUACCUGACCAAGAAGCCCCGGUAACUACGUGCCAGCAGCCGCGGUAAUACGUAGGGGGCAAGCGUUAUCCGGAAUUACUGGGUGUAAAGGGAGCGUAGACGGUGGUGCAAGUCUGGAGUGAAAGGCGGGGGCCCAACCCCCGGACUGCUCUGGAAACUGUGUAACUUGAGUGCAGGAGAGGUAAGCGGAAUUCCUAGUGUAGCGGUGAAACGCGUAGAUAUUAGGAGGAACACCAGUGGCGAAGGCGGCUUACUGGACUGUAACUGACGUUGAGGCUCGAAAGCGUGGGGAGCAAACAGGAUUAGAUACCCUGGUAGUCCACGCCGUAAACGAUGAUUACUAGG
This 816-nucleotide ribosomal RNA is filed under the name uncultured bacterium. RNAcentral's name for it is "bacterial SSU rRNA". It matches the Rfam family "Bacterial small subunit ribosomal RNA", at positions 8 to 820 of the family's 1533-position model. The record is from RNAcentral.